RNAcentral lists this small RNA (4236 nucleotides) under Pan troglodytes (chimpanzee). RNAcentral describes it as "processed transcript". The record is from RNAcentral. Lineage: Eukaryota; Metazoa; Chordata; Mammalia; Primates; Hominidae.
AGAGCUGGGAAGGAGGCUCUAGAUGGCGGCUGUGCCUUAGAGAGAGCGCGCUCUGCUCCCUGCCUUUGCCUCACUUUACGCAACUUUCCCUAACUUUCGGGCAGCCUCAGGGGGCCCCCGUAGCCCCCUGCCUUUCCUAGGGACUUACUGGGGUCGAUUCGAACCUUUUUUUGGGAGAAAAGCAGCUUUUAGGAGCUUUCUUUUCGUGCCUUGUUGGAAAGAAGCAGCCGUACUGAGAGCCCAGGUCGUUGUUUUUUCCAGCUUAGAAGCCAUGGCGCACCUCCAUUUUUGUGCGCUCUCCUAAUGAGGUUUUUUUUCUUUCGGACCUGUUUUAGUAUUAAUUAUUGCUUUAUUUUUUUGACCAGUUAACAUAUUUGAGGGUUAUUUUAUUUAUUUUUCGUUUUUUAACGGAGGAUUUUGCCUUUAUUUUUAAUUAUUUGGGAUCUGAUAUUUUUCUACUAGUAGAUAGGACUCUUGGUUUGGACAUACUACAUGGAUCAGUAAAUACCUGGGCACAGGACUUCAAAGCAAACACAGAUUCCCCCUCCCCCUUAAUAUUUAAGAAUUAAAAGAUGAUGAGAAAUAAGGACAAAAGCCAAGAGGAGGACAGUUCGCUACACAGCAAUGCAUCGAGUCACUCAGCCUCUGAAGAAGCUUCGGGUUCAGACUCAGGCAGUCAGUCGGAAAGUGAGCAGGGAAGUGAUCCGGGAAGUGGACAUGGCAGUGAGUCGAACAGCAGCUCUGAAUCUUCUGAGAGUCAGUCGGAAUCUGAGAGCGAAUCAGCAGGUUCCAAAUCCCAGCCAGUCCUCCCAGAAGCCAAAGAGAAGCCAGCCUCUAAGAAGGAACGGAUAGCUGAUGUGAAGAAGAUGUGGGAAGAAUAUCCUGAUGUUUAUGGGGUCAGGCGGUCAAACCGAAGCAGACAAGAACCAUCGCGAUUUAAUAUUAAGGAAGAGGCAAGUAGCGGGUCUGAGAGUGGGAGCCCAAAAAGAAGAGGCCAGAGGCAGCUGAAAAAACAAGAAAAAUGGAAACAGGAACCCUCAGAAGAUGAACAGGAACAAGGCACCAGUGCAGAGAGUGAGCCAGAACAAAAAAAAGUAAAAGCCAGAAGACCUGUCCCCAGAAGAACAGUGCCCAAACCUCGUGUUAAAAAGCAGCCGAAGACUCAGCGUGGAAAGAGAAAAAAGCAAGAUUCUUCUGAUGAGGAUGAUGAUGAUGACGAAGCUCCCAAAAGGCAGACUCGUCGAAGAGCGGCUAAAAAUGUUAGUUACAAAGAAGAUGAUGACUUUGAGACUGACUCAGAUGAUCUCAUUGAAAUGACUGGAGAAGGAGUUGAUGAACAGCAAGAUAAUAGUGAAACUAUUGAAAAGGUCUUAGAUUCAAGACUGGGAAAGAAAGGAGCCACUGGAGCAUCUACUACUGUAUAUGCGAUUGAAGCUAAUGGCGACCCUAGUGGUGACUUUGACACUGAAAAGGAUGAAGGUGAAAUCCAGUACCUCAUCAAGUGGAAGGGUUGGUCUUACAUCCACAGCACAUGGGAGAGUGAAGAAUCCUUACAGCAACAGAAAGUGAAGGGCCUAAAAAAACUAGAGAACUUCAAGAAAAAAGAGGACGAAAUCAAACAAUGGUUAGGGAAAGUUUCUCCUGAAGAUGUAGAAUAUUUCAAUUGCCAACAGGAGCUGGCUUCAGAGUUGAAUAAACAGUAUCAGAUAGUAGAAAGAGUAAUAGCUGUGAAGACAAGUAAAUCUACAUUGGGUCAAACAGAUUUUCCAGCUCAUAGUCGGAAGCCGGCACCCUCAAAUGAGCCCGAAUAUCUAUGUAAAUGGAUGGGACUUCCCUAUUCAGAGUGUAGCUGGGAAGAUGAAGCCCUCAUUGGAAAGAAAUUCCAGAAUUGCAUUGACAGCUUCCACAGUAGGAACAACUCAAAAACCAUCCCAACAAGAGAAUGCAAGGCCCUGAAGCAGAGACCACGAUUUGUAGCUUUAAAGAAACAACCUGCAUAUUUAGGAGGGGAGAAUCUGGAACUUCGAGAUUAUCAGCUAGAAGGUCUAAACUGGCUAGCUCAUUCCUGGUGCAAAAAUAAUAGUGUAAUCCUUGCUGAUGAAAUGGGCCUAGGAAAGACCAUCCAGACCAUAUCAUUCCUCUCCUACCUGUUCCACCAACACCAGCUGUAUGGCCCCUUUCUUAUAGUCGUCCCUUUAUCCACCCUCACCUCAUGGCAGAGAGAGUUUGAAAUCUGGGCACCAGAGAUUAACGUAGUGGUUUACAUAGGUGACCUGAUGAGCAGAAAUACGAUACGGGAAUAUGAAUGGAUUCAUUCCCAAACCAAAAGAUUGAAGUUCAACGCACUUAUAACAACAUAUGAGAUCCUCUUGAAAGAUAAGACUGUGCUGGGCAGUAUUAACUGGGCCUUUCUGGGAGUGGAUGAAGCCCAUCGGUUGAAGAAUGAUGACUCUUUAUUGUAUAAAACUCUGAUUGAUUUCAAGUCCAACCAUAGGCUCCUGAUUACGGGGACCCCUCUUCAGAAUUCCCUCAAAGAGCUCUGGUCCUUGCUGCACUUUAUUAUGCCGGAGAAGUUUGAAUUUUGGGAAGAUUUUGAAGAAGACCAUGGGAAAGGGAGAGAGAAUGGCUACCAGAGUCUUCAUAAGGUGCUAGAGCCUUUCCUUCUCCGGAGAGUCAAAAAAGAUGUGGAGAAAUCCCUUCCUGCUAAAGUGGAACAGAUUCUCAGGGUGGAGAUGUCAGCCCUUCAGAAACAGUAUUACAAGUGGAUUCUGACCAGGAAUUACAAGGCUCUUGCCAAAGGAACAAGAGGCAGCACAUCUGGUUUUCUUAAUAUUGUGAUGGAACUGAAAAAAUGUUGCAACCACUGCUAUCUGAUUAAACCCCCUGAAGAAAAUGAAAGGGAAAAUGGACAGGAGAUUCUUCUGUCCCUCAUAAGGAGCAGUGGGAAGUUGAUUUUAUUAGACAAACUGUUGACAAGACUUCGAGAAAGGGGGAAUCGAGUGCUUAUCUUCUCUCAGAUGGUGAGAAUGUUGGAUAUCCUGGCUGAAUACCUAACUAUUAAACACUAUCCUUUCCAGCGUCUGGAUGGUUCCAUCAAGGGAGAAAUCCGAAAACAGGCACUGGACCACUUCAAUGCAGAUGGGUCUGAGGACUUCUGUUUCCUGCUCUCGACAAGGGCUGGUGGCCUGGGAAUCAAUUUGGCUUCAGCGGACACAGUCGUCAUCUUUGACUCUGACUGGAACCCCCAGAAUGACUUGCAGGCACAAGCCCGAGCGCAUAGAAUUGGUCAGAAGAAGCAGGUAAAUAUUUACCGCUUAGUUACAAAGGGGACUGUGGAGGAGGAGAUCAUAGAACGGGCCAAAAAGAAGAUGGUAUUAGAUCAUCUGGUGAUUCAGCGCAUGGACACCACUGGCCGGACGAUCCUGGAAAACAACUCGGGAAGGUCCAACUCAAAUCCUUUUAAUAAAGAAGAGCUGACAGCUAUUUUGAAAUUUGGAGCAGAGGAUCUCUUCAAAGAACUGGAAGGGGAGGAAUCAGAACCUCAGGAAAUGGAUAUAGAUGAAAUUUUGCGGUUGGCUGAAACGAGAGAGAAUGAAGUGUCAACAAGUGCAACAGAUGAACUUCUAUCACAGUUUAAGGUUGCCAACUUUGCAACAAUGGAAGAUGAAGAAGAGCUGGAAGAGCGUCCUCACAAGGACUGGGAUGAGAUCAUUCCAGAGGAACAAAGGAAAAAAGUAGAGGAGGAAGAGCGGCAGAAGGAGCUAGAAGAAAUUUAUAUGCUGCCUCGAAUUCGGAGUUCCACUAAAAAGGCUCAGACAAAUGACAGUGACUCUGACACUGAGUCUAAGAGGCAGGCCCAGAGAUCCUCUGCUUCUGAGAGUGAAACGGAAGACUCUGAUGAUGACAAGAAGCCAAAGCGCAGAGGGCGUCCGAGGAGUGUGCGGAAGGACCUCGUGGAGGGAUUUACUGAUGCAGAGAUCCGAAGGUUCAUCAAGGCUUAUAAGAAGUUUGGUCUCCCUCUUGAACGGCUGGAGUGCAUAGCACGUGAUGCUGAGCUGGUAGAUAAGUCGGUGGCAGAUCUGAAGCGCCUGGGUGAACUGAUCCACAACAGCUGUGUGUCAGCAAUGCAGGAAUACGAAGAGCAGCUGAAAGAAAAUGCCAGCGAGGGUCUACUCACAAAUGAAGUUGAUUUGCAGAAGGUGUAGAGUGAAGAAAAAGAUGAAAUGGUUUCUUUUU